This 519-nucleotide long non-coding RNA is filed under the name Solanum tuberosum (potato). RNAcentral describes it as "long non-coding RNA (STUB_LNC010176)". The record is from RNAcentral. Lineage: Eukaryota; Viridiplantae; Streptophyta; Magnoliopsida; Solanales; Solanaceae.
AUGCCUAUGCUUUUUAGUCAGUAGAAGUUCGAUCACUAAAUCAUCUUUUUGAAAAGAAAAAAAAAGGUGAUUGAUAGAGAGAAUAUAUGCACGAAGAUUGGUGUCUUUUAAGGGUCGUUUAGUUGGUCGUAUACGAAUAAUGUUGAAUAUAGUGUAUUAGUAAUGCUGAGAUUAUUUUUUAGGUACUGUUUGAUUUUUUAUAUAAAAAUUAACAUGAAUUAUAUAUUUCUAAACAGUGUUAUUUGUCAGAUAAAAAAGUACACAUUUGGAGGAAAAUUGUGUAAAACCCUUGCAUUGUAUUGGUUAAGAAAUUGUACCAAACAAUGUAUUUGUUAUAUACAAGUUACUUCGUGCAUUAUUUUUUUUACUACCUCUUAUCAAACGGCCCCAAAAUGGAUGAAGAGAUUAAGGGAAAAUCUAUAAGAAGAAAUAUUUAUCACAAGGACAAAUCAUUCAAUACCCUAGCUCUUUCCUCUUAUUUUUCUUUUUUAAAUUCAUUUAAAAAACUAAACAAAAUUC